CCUACGGGAGGCAGCAGUGGGGAAUAUUGCACAAUGGGGGAAACCCUGAUGCAGCAACGCCGCGUGAGUGAAGAAGUAUUUCGGUAUGUAAAGCUCUAUCAGCAGGGAAGAAAAUGACGGUACCUGAGUAAGCAGCCCUGGCCAACUACGUGUCAGCAGCCGCGGUAUUACGUAGGGGGCAAGCGUUAUCUGGAUUUACUGGGUGUAACGGGAGCGUAGACGGCGAUACAAGUCUGAAGUGAAAGCCCGGGGCUCAACCCCGGGACUGCUUUGGAAACUGUGUUGCUGGAGUGCUGGAGAGGCAAGCGGAAUUCCUAGUGUAGCGGUGAAAUGCGUAGAUAUUAGGAAGAACACCAGUGGCGAAGGCGGCUUGCUGGACAGUAACUGACGUUGAGGCGCGAAAGCGUGGGGAGCAAACAGGAUUAGAUACCCGAGUAGUC
RNAcentral lists this ribosomal RNA (440 nucleotides) under uncultured bacterium. RNAcentral's name for it is "partial 16S ribosomal RNA". It matches the Rfam family "Bacterial small subunit ribosomal RNA", at positions 338 to 795 of the family's 1533-position model. The record is from RNAcentral.